This is a small nucleolar RNA of 209 nucleotides. Its record names the gene U3. It matches the Rfam family "Small nucleolar RNA U3". From Rfam's summary of the family: Small nucleolar RNAs (snoRNAs) are involved in the processing and modification of rRNA in the nucleolus. There are two main classes of snoRNAs: the box C/D class, and the box H/ACA class. U3 snoRNA is a member of the box C/D class. The record is from Ensembl.
AAGACUAUACUUUCAGGGAUCAUUCCUAGAAUUUGUUACUACAGAAGUUUCUCUGAAUGUGUAGAGUACCCAAAACCAUGAGAAGGAGGUAUAGCAUUCUCUCCUGAGGAUGAAGGUGGCUCUGGGGGUUGCUUCUGCAGCUGUCUUUUGCUGUUGAUGAUCAUUCUUCUCUUCCUUUGGGAGAGCAAGAGGGAGAAAACAAAAACAAA